Molecule: transfer RNA, 72 nt
Filed under: Rhodospirillales bacterium
Lineage: Bacteria; Pseudomonadati; Pseudomonadota; Alphaproteobacteria; Rhodospirillales
Description: tRNA-Ser
Rfam family: tRNA
About the family: Transfer RNA (tRNA) molecules are approximately 80 nucleotides in length. Their secondary structure includes four short double-helical elements and three loops (D, anti-codon, and T loops). Further hydrogen bonds mediate the characteristic L-shaped molecular structure. tRNAs have two regions of fundamental functional importance: the anti-codon, which is responsible for specific mRNA codon recognition, and the 3' end, to which the tRNAs corresponding amino acid is attached (by aminoacyl-tRNA synthetases). tRNAs cope with the degeneracy of the genetic code in two manners: having more than one tRNA (with a specific anti-codon) for a particular amino acid; and 'wobble' base-pairing, i.e. permitting non-standard base-pairing at the 3rd anti-codon position.
Source: RNAcentral
GGCGAUGUAGCUCAGCGGUAGAGCACCGGGCUCGAGGUCCGGAGGUCGCGGGUUCGAGUCCCGUCGUCGCGC